This 253-nucleotide ribosomal RNA is filed under the name uncultured bacterium. RNAcentral describes it as "partial 16S ribosomal RNA". It matches the Rfam family "Bacterial small subunit ribosomal RNA", at positions 524 to 776 of the family's 1533-position model. The record is from RNAcentral.
UACGGAGGGUGCAAGCGUUAUCCGGAUUCACUGGGUUUAAAGGGUGCGUAGGCGGGCAAUCAAGUCUGAGGUGAAAUCCUCCAGCUUAACUGGAGAAGUGCCCUGGAUACUGAUUGCCUCGAGGAUGGUAGGGGCAUCUGGAACUAGCGGUGGAGCGGUGAAAUGCGUUGAUAUCGCUAGGAACUCCGGUGGCGAAGGCGAGGUGCUGGACCAUUUCCGACGCUGAGACGCGAAAGCGUGGGGAGCAAACAGG